This 492-nucleotide ribosomal RNA is filed under the name uncultured bacterium. RNAcentral's name for it is "partial 16S ribosomal RNA". It matches the Rfam family "Bacterial small subunit ribosomal RNA", at positions 29 to 507 of the family's 1533-position model. The record is from RNAcentral.
AGUGAACGCUGGCGGCAGGCCUAACACAUGCAAGUCGAACGGUAACAGGGUUCAGCUUGCUGCUUCGCUGACGAGUGUCGGACGGGGGAGAGAUGUCUGGGAAACUGUCCGAUGGCGGGGGAUAACUAGUGGAAACGGUAACUAUAACAGCACAACCUCCCUAGGCCAAAGAGCGGGACCUUUUGGCCCCUUGCCCUCGUGUGUGCGCCGAUGUGGGAUUAGCUAGUGGGGGGGGUAAAGGCACACCAAGGCGACGAUCCGUAGCUGGUCUGAGAGGAUGAUCAGCCACACUGGAACUGAGACACGGUCCAGACUCCUACGGGAGGCAGCAGUGGGGAAUAUUGGACAAUGGGCGCAAGCCUGAUGCAGCCAUGCCGCGUGUAUGAAGAAGGCCUUCGGGUUGUAAAGUACUUUUAGCGGGGAGGAAGGGAGUAAAGUUAAUACCUUUGCGCAUUGACGGUACCCGAAGAAGAAGCACCGGCUAACUCCGUG